GAGUUUACGGGAGGUAUUCCGCGCAGACCAGGGCUGAUCUUACAGACGACGACUCAGGCGCACGCAGGCAGCUACCGAUGUCGCGCCCGUAACGCCAUCGGAUUCGGCGACGCGAGCCCUCCGUUCCAACUCGUCGUGCAGCAAGUUGCAGGCGAGCCGCGGUGUAAGGUCGACAGCGUGACGAUAGAAGCUCACAAGAACGAACCCGUAGAUCUGGUCUGUGAAGUCGACAGCCGCACCUCCGGGCUCCAGUUUAGUUGGAAUCUAGAUGGCUUGAGUGUUUCGGGAGCGCAACACCAGCGGACGCGCAGUGUGCUACGCGUGGUCCCGCAGUCGAUCGCUGACUUUGGGACGUACCAUUGUGUCGUCGUAGGGGGGACGAUAGCAACUCUACUAGACUGCCAGGUUAUUCUACGUGACAGUGAUGGAGAGUCGUUCUGUCCUGACCUCGGUGACAUAGAGAACGGAAGGAAGCGCAUCGUGACGUCAGGUCGCAGG
Long non-coding RNA from Priapulus caudatus, 498 nucleotides. RefSeq lists it as uncharacterized. The record is from RefSeq and is a predicted model, not a curated record. Lineage: Eukaryota; Metazoa; Priapulida; Priapulimorpha; Priapulimorphida; Priapulidae. The transcript is spliced from 4 exons.